This 462-nucleotide ribosomal RNA is filed under the name Serratia symbiotica. RNAcentral describes it as "bacterial SSU rRNA". It matches the Rfam family "Bacterial small subunit ribosomal RNA", at positions 17 to 479 of the family's 1533-position model. Lineage: Bacteria; Pseudomonadati; Pseudomonadota; Gammaproteobacteria; Enterobacterales; Yersiniaceae. The record is from RNAcentral.
UCAUGGCUCAGAUUGAACGCUGGCGGCAGGCCUAACACAUGCAAGUCGAGCGGUAGCACAAGAGAGCUUGCUCUCUGGGUGACGAGCGGCGGACGGGUGAGUAAUGUCUGGGAAACUGCCUGAUGGCGGGGGAUAACUAGUGGAAACGGUAGCUAAUACCGCAUAACGUCGCAAGACCAAAGUGGGGGACCUUCGGGCCUCACGCCAUCAGAUGUGCCCAGGUGGGAUUAGCUGGUAGGUGGGGUAACGGCUCACCUAGGCGACGAUCCCUAGCUGGUCUGAGAGGAUGACCAGCCACACUGGAACUGAGACACGGUCCAGACUCCUACGGGAGGCAGCAGUGGGGAAUAUUGCACAAUGGGCGCAAGCCUGAUGCAGCCAUGCCGCGUGUGUGAAGAAGGCCUUCGGGUUGUAAAGCACUUUCAGCGAGGAGGAAGGGUAAUGUGUUAAUAAGACAUUGCA